This 1230-nucleotide long non-coding RNA is filed under the name Numida meleagris (helmeted guineafowl). Its description in RNAcentral is "lncRNA (ENSNMEG00000019272.1)". The record is from RNAcentral. Lineage: Eukaryota; Metazoa; Chordata; Aves; Galliformes; Numididae.
GCCCCUAAAGGACAAUGCUGCCGGGAGGGGAACGGAAAAAAAAAAAAAAAAAAAGAAAGAAAAAAAAAGAAAAAAAAGCGGGCCCGAGUCCCGCCGGCCCUCUCCCGCCUUAACCCCGCGACGCGGCGGGAGCUGCCCGCACGGCCCCGAGCCGCAGCGCUCAGCCCCGCUGCGCUGCCCGGAGCCGGCGGCCGCGGUGCGCAGCCGAAAGGUCACAGCGGGGCCCGCGCUGCGCUGUCACGGCCGCCCGAGCUCCGGCUCUCUCUGCCCGCGAGCCGCGCCGCCCGCCGCCCUCCCUCCGCCCGUCCCCUCCGGGCGCGCCCGGCCCGCGGCGCGGCUCCCCCCAGCCUCUCACCUGGCGCCGGGACCCCGCGGGCCGGAGCGAAGCGAAGCGCCGCGGGCGGGGCCGGGCCGGCCGCCAACCGCUCGCACCGGGGCACCCCGGCCGGGCCCCCGGCCCCGCCUCCCGGCCCUGCCCGCCGCCGGCGUUCGCUGUCACCCCCCGGCCGGCCCCUCUCUCCCCUCCCGCCGCUUCCUCUUCCCGCUCCCCCGCCCGGCCCGGGGAGCCGUCCUCCCGCCGCCCGGUCCCGCGGCUCCUCCUUUCGCCCUGCCGCCGGCGGAGGGAAGGAGGGAGGGAGCGAGGGAGGCCUCCCCGGCCCGGCCCGGCCCGGCCCUCGGCGCGGCGGCGGGAAAGGGAGGCCCCGGCCCCGUCCUCCCGCCGCCCCGGCCCUGCCCCUCCCGCCGCCGUACCCGGGCUUUACCUGCCGUGGCGGCGCGGAGCGGGGCCCCGGGGCCUCUGGCAGCCGGAGGAGGCGGCGGACUCCGUCCCGCUGCGGCCGUCCCCGAGUGAGGCGGGCGGGACGGAGCCGGGACCUGCCCCGGGAGGCGUUACGUAAACCGGCGGCGGCGGCGGCUCCCAGCGCCACGGGGAGGGAGGGAAGGGGGGGGGGGGACGGGGGAGGCGGCCGCUCCGUCACCCGGCAACAGGACUCAGCGCCCCGGCGGACCGCGCCGCAGGCCCCGCCCCGUAUCCUUCCGCCCAGAGGGCGGCCCAGAUCCCGCCGCCCAGGCGCGGGGCUGAGGGGAGCCGCUGGCGGGCGGGCGGGCCGGCUGUCAGGGCAGCGGGCAGCCUGUGCGGCUGCAUAUUGGGGAGGAAGGGUGGGGCAGGAGGGGAAGUGUGCCUUUGGCCUGGCGGUGCGCUACAGCCCCGCCCGCCGGGGGAGCGCCUGA